UCAAGUUAUUAAGGGUGCAGGGCGGAUGCCUUGGCACUAGGAGCCGAUGAAGGACGUGAUAAGCUGCGAUAAGCUUCGGGGAGUUGCACGUAAACUUUGAUCCGAAGAUUUCCGAAUGAGGAAACUCACUUAGAGUAAUGUCUAAGUAUCAUUAAGUGAAUACAUAGCUUAAUGAGGGGAACUCAGGGAACUGAAACAUCUAAGUACCUGAAGGAAGAGAAAGAAAUUCGAUUCCGUAAGUAGCGGCGAGCGAACGCGGAUUAGCCCAAACCAAUAAAGUUUUCUUUAUUGGGGUUGCGGACAUAUCAUAACGGAGAGGUAUCGUAAUUGAAGAGGUUUGGAAAGACCCACCACAGAAGGUAAUAGUCCUGUAUGUUAAACGAGAAGACUUCAGAUAUGAUCCAGAGUACCACGGGACACGUGAAACCCUGUGGGAAGCAGGAGGGACCACCCUCCAAGGCUAAAUACUACCUAGUGACCGAUAGCGUAUAGUACCGUGAGGGAAAGGUGAAAAGAACCCCGGGAGGGGAGUGAAAUAGAACCUGAAACCCUGCACUUACAAGCUGUGGAAGCACAUUUCUUGUGUGACCGCGUACUUUUUGUAGAACGGGCCAACGAGUUACGUUAAGUAGCAAGGUUAAGCACUUAAGGUGUGGAGCCGUAGCGAAAGCGAGUUUUAACUGAGCGUUCAGUUACUUGACGUAGACCCGAAACCGGGCGACCUACCCAUGAGCAGGAUGAAGCGAAAGUAAAAUUUCGUGGAGGUCCGAACCCACGAGCGUUGAAAAGCUCGGGGAUGACUUGUGGGUAGCGGUGAAAUUCCAAUCGAGCCCGGAGAUAGCUGGUUCUCCCCGAAAUAGCUUUAGGGCUAGCCUCAAGGUGAGAGAUACGGAGGUAGAGCACUGAAUGUCCUAGGGGGUAUUGCACCUACCGAAGACUAUCAAACUCCGAAUGCCGUCAUCUUAUACUUGGGAGUCAGACUGUGGGUGAUAAGAUUCAUAGUCGAAAGGGCAACAGCCCAGAUCGUCAGCUAAGGUCCCUAAAUGUAAGUUAAGUGGUAAAGGAUGUGGGAUUGCACAGACAACCAGGAUGUUGGCUUAGAAGCAGCCACUCAUUCAAAGAGUGCGUAAUAGCUCACUGGUCGAGUGAUCCUGCGCCGAAGAUUUCCGGGGCUAAAACUUACUACCGAAGCUACGGCAUCAGUAAUGAUGGGUAGGGGAGCUUCCCAUACGGGUUGAAGCAUGACCGUAAGGACAUGUGGACAGUAUGGGAGUGAGAAUGUUGGCAUGAGUAGCGAGAUGUGGGUGAGAAUCCCACAGGCCGUAAACCCAAGGUUUCCAGGGGAAGGUUCGUCCGCCCUGGGUUAGUCGGGACCUAAGCUGAGGCCGAAAGGCGUAGGUGAUGGACAACAGGUUGAUAUUCCUGUACUACCGAUAACCGUUUGAGAGAAGGGAUGACACAGUAGGAUAAGCUAAGCACACUGUUGGUUAUGUGUGCCCAAGCAUUGAGGCAGUCAAAGUAGGCAAAUCCGCUUUGAUAAUGCUGGGAUGUGAUGGGGAGCGAAAUUUAGUAGCGAAGUAGCUGAUUUCACACUGUCAAGAAAAGUCUCUAUCGAGGUUAAAGGUACCCGUACCGCAAACCGACACAGGUGGGUGAGGAGAGUAUCCUAAGGCCAGCGAGAGAACUGUUGUUAAGGAACUCGGCAAAAUGACCCCGUAACUUAGGGAUAAGGGGUGCCACCAUCAGGUGGCCGCAGAGAAUAGGCCCAAGCGACUGUUUACCAAAAACAUAGGUUUCUGCUAAGUCGCAAGACGAUGUAUAGGAGCUGACGCCUGCCCGGUGCUGGAAGGUUAAGGGGAUCUGUUAGAGCAAUCGAAGCAGUGAACUUAAGCCCCAGUAAACGGCGGCCGUAACUAUAACGGUCCUAAGGUAGCGAAAUUCCUUGUCGGGUAAGUUCCGACCCGCACGAAAGGCGUAACGAUUUGGGCACUGUCUCAACAACAGACUCGGUGAAAUUGUAAUUCCGGUGAAGAUGCCGGAUACCUGCGACAGGACGGAAAGACCCCAUGGAGCUUUACUGUAGCUUGACAUUGGGUCUUGGUACUACAUGUACAGGAUAGGUGGGAGGCUUUGAAACCAGGACGCCAGUUUUGGCGGAGCCAUCCUUGGGAUACCACCCUUGUAGUACUGGGACUCUAACCAUAGGCCAUGAAUCUGGUCUUGGGACACUGUCAGGUGGGCAGUUUGACUGGGGCGGUCGCCUCCCAAAAGGUAACGGAGGCGCUCAAAGGUUCUCUCAGUACGGUCGGAAAUCGUACGUAGAGUGUAAAGGCAAAAGAGAGCUUGAUUGCAAGACAUACAGGUCGAGCAAGGAUGAAAAUCGGACUUAGUGAUCCGGUGGUUCUGCGUGGAAGGGCCAUCGCUCAACGGAUAAAAGCUACCCUGGGGAUAACAGGCUUAUCUCCCCCAAGAGUCCACAUCGACGGGGAGGUUUGGCACCUCGAUGUCGGCUCAUCACAUCCUGGGGCUGUAGUAGGUCCCAAGGGUUGGGCUGUUCGCCCAUUAAAGUGGUACGCGAGCUGGGUUCAGAACGUCGUGAGACAGUUCGGUCCCUAUCCGUCGCAGGCGUAGGAAAUUUGAGAAGACCUGUCCUUAGUACGAGAGGACCGGGAUGGACGUACCUCUGGUGUACCAGUUGUCCUGCCAAGGGCAUGGCUGGGUAGCUAUGUACGGAAUGGAUAAGCGCUGAAAGCAUCUAAGCGCGAAGCCAACUUCAAGAUAAGAUUUCCCACCGCAAGGGUAAGACCCCAGAAAGACUAUCUGGUUGAUAGGUCGAAGGUGUAAGUGCAGCAAUGUAUUUAGCUUAUCGAUACUAAUAGGUCGAGGACUUGACCAA
Molecule: ribosomal RNA, 2896 nt
Filed under: Clostridioides difficile
Lineage: Bacteria; Bacillati; Bacillota; Clostridia; Peptostreptococcales; Peptostreptococcaceae
Description: bacterial LSU rRNA
Rfam family: Bacterial large subunit ribosomal RNA
Source: RNAcentral